Molecule: ribosomal RNA, 465 nt
Filed under: uncultured bacterium
Lineage: Bacteria
Description: partial 16S ribosomal RNA
Rfam family: Bacterial small subunit ribosomal RNA
Source: RNAcentral
CCUACGGGUUGCAGCAGUAGGGAAUCUUCCACAAUGGGCGAAAGCCUGAUGUCUCCCCUCCUCUUUUUUGACGCAGGUCUUCGGCUCGUAAAACCCUGUUGUUAGAGAAGAAAGUGCGUGAGAGUAACUGUUCACGUUUCGACGGUAUCUAACCAGAAAGCCACGGCUAACUACGUGCCAGCAGCCGCGGUAAUACGUAGGUGGCAAGCGUUAUCCGGAUUUAUUGGGCGUAAAGGGAACGCAGGCGGUCUUUUAAGUCUGAUGUGAAAGCCUUCGGCUUAACCGGAGUAGUGCAUUGGAAACUGGGAGACUUGAGUGCAGAAGAGGAGAGUGGAACUCCAUGUGUAGCGGUGAAAUGCGUAGAUAUAUGGAAGAACACCAGUGGCGAAAGCGGCUCUCUGGUCUGUAACUGACGCUGAGGUUCGAAAGCGUGGGUAGCAAACAGGAUUAGAUAACCUGGUAGUC